This 98-nucleotide transfer RNA is filed under the name Burkholderia vietnamiensis. The record is from RNAcentral. Lineage: Bacteria; Pseudomonadati; Pseudomonadota; Betaproteobacteria; Burkholderiales; Burkholderiaceae.
UCCGGCACGCCGGGGCGGCGGCCGUCGGGCUGGCGCUUCGGGUCGCCGGCCGGCGACCAGUCGUUGGCGAGCGGCAGUUCGAUGCCGAUGCUGAAGCC